Monodelphis domestica (gray short-tailed opossum) is the source of this 2590-nucleotide long non-coding RNA. RefSeq lists it as uncharacterized. NCBI's taxonomy places the organism in Eukaryota, Metazoa, Chordata, Mammalia, Didelphimorphia, Didelphidae. The record is from RefSeq and is a predicted model, not a curated record.
GCUAGUCCGGGCGCGGUGUGGAGCGGGCGGCUAGCGGAGGGAACCCGCUCCUCUCCGGGCACUGCAAGGACAGAAGCAGGCGAUGCACAGAGGGAGCUCUCGCGGUCUUGCCCAACCGUUUCUCAUAGGCAAGAGAAUUCCCAGAAAAUGAAAGCAGUCAAAGGAUUUGGAGAAUCAUAGUCUACUCUGAGUGGCACCAGCAGCUAUUGAGUCAGCAGCGCAAUUCAGACUUCCUGGCCCCUGUACACAAAUUGGAUGAUGAUUAUACCCAGAGACUUGGAAAUUCUUCUACUUGGUGAUGCUCUGACAGAGCUCAUUGACCUGGCUAUGAAGAACUCUCAGCCAACUCAGACUCACAGAAUGUCUGAUUGGAAGACUCACCUACAGUAAAAUUGUAGGAAAUUGAGAGCCUUGUUGGUGGCCCAACAAGCUUUAUAGCUCCAUGAUGAUCUAUGACAAUUCUAACCUGUUGAGUUGGCACAGGUCAAAUCUAUAGCUGGAUGCCAUUUUAAAGGCUAUCUUGUCCAAGGCACUAAAUUUACAAAUGAGGAACAGAAACUCGAGGAAUUUAAGUGAUUUGCCCAAGGUAAUACAGGUUUCAACAUCACAAGUGGGAUUUGAACCCAGAUCUUCUAACUCCCAGAAAUUCCAUUUCUUUCCAUUGUCACAUACCAUUUUGUGAUCAGACUAUAAGCUUUUCACCUCAAUAUGCAACAUUUGGCAAUCAUGGAGAUAAUUAUGAAUGAAAUCAUGCCCAAGUGUGAGAGAUAAUAAAAGGAUAAUGAAUAAUAAUUGCCAGAGAACUACUCAUAGUGUUUACUGAUCUUGUAGUACUCACACUGCAGAUUUGUUCCCUUUUUUAGUUAUUAAAAAUGGACUUUUUAACAUACAUUUUUACAUCUAUAGGUUCAAAUUCUCUCUUUCCUGUUCCUUCACCACACAUUGAGGAGGCAAGCAAUGAUAUUCAUUAUACAAUUAAAAUAAUCCAAAAUAUAUUUCCAUGUUAGACACAUUGUGAAAAUAGAAAAAAAGAAUAAGAGAAAUAAAGUGAAAAGUAUGUAUUUAUCUGCACUCAGAGUUCACCAAUUCUCUCUGGAUAUAGCAUUUUUGAUCAUGAGACCAGUGGAUCAUUAUUUUAUCAGAAUAGCUAAGAAUUUCACAAUUGAUCAUUUUAGGAUAUUACUGUUGCUAUUUAUAUCCUCCUGCCUCUGCUAAAUUCACUUUGCAUCAGUUCAUAUGUCUUCCCAGUCUUUUCUGAAAGCACCUUGACCAUUAUUGUUUAUAUGUCAAUUAUGUCCUAUCACAGUCAUAUAUCACAACUUGCUUAGCACUUUACCAAUUUAUGGACAUCCCCUCAAUUUUCAAUUAAUUUACACAACAACAACAAAAUACUUCAAUAUUUUUUUUUGCAUUUAUUAGGUCUUUUCUCUUUUGUUUGAACUCUAUGAGAUAUAGGUCUAGUAAUGGUAUUUCUGAGAAAAAGGGUAUGCACAGUUUUAUAGCCCUUUGGAUAGAAUUCCAAAUCGUUCUCCAGAAUGGUUAGAACAUUUAAUAACUCCAUCAACAGUAUUUCAAUGUCCCUAUUUUUGCCACAGCCCUUCCAGCAUUUGUCUUUUUCCUUUUCUGUCAUGUUAGAUAAUCUGAAAAGUGCAAGUGGUAACUUAGAGUUAUUUUAAUUUUAAUUUUCUCUAAUUAAUAGUGGUAUUAUACUUUCUAUAUGACUAUAGAAAGAAUUGAUCUCAUUUUCUGAAAACUGCCUGUUCAUAUCUUCAACCAUUUAUCAAUUUGGAGAUGGUUUUUGAUUUUAUAAGUUUGGUUCUGUUUCCUAUAUGUUGGGGAAAUGGAGCUUUUAUAAGAGCACUUUGCUUUAAAAAUUUCCCCAGUUUCCUACUUUCCUCAUAAUUUUAUUGACAUUGGUUUUGUUUCAGGUUCAUUUUUUUUUCUUUUAUAAAACCCUUACCUUCCAUCUUAUAAUCAAUACUGUGUACUGGUUCUAAGGCAGAAGAGCAUUAAGGGCUAAACAAUGAUGAUUAAGUGCCUUGUCUAGGUUCACAAAGCUAGGAAGUGUCUGAGGCCACAUUUGAACCUAGGACCUCUCCUCUCUAGGCCUGGCUUUCAAUCAACUGAGCCAACCAGCUGUCCUCUCAGGUUCAUUCUUAAAAGCCUUUUUACUUUUUUUACAAUCUUAAAAGUUGUUCUUCACUGCUUAUAUGUUAAUGGGAAUUUUGAUAGCACACUGAUUGCAUAUACUCUCUCUCUCUCUCUCUCUCUCUCUCUCUCUCUCUCUCUCUCUCUCUCUUUCUAAUACUUCCCAAAAGAAGAAUUGUCCUUUUGUUUCUUUCCACCCCAUGGACCAUGGAAUUAAUACAGAAUUUAUCUGUUAAUCAAGAUAUUGUUAUUUGUUUUGUGUAUUCUUUACCCUCUUCCAUUUUUAUUCCUUUCACAUUAAUUCUUCACCAGCACUAAAAAUAAGACAUUUUAUUGAAAGAAUUUUCCUAGCAAAUGUUUGACUUUUCAAAUUUCAGUGAUAUCUCCAGUCAUAAAUUCAUAGGAUAUUGGCCUAACCAUACAGAAUGACCAAAAAAAGAAA